GCUAUCUGCAGUCGAGCGACUGAUUAGAAGCUUGCUUCUAUGACGUUAGCGGCGGACGGGUGAGUAACACGUGGGCAACCUGCCUGUAAGACUGGGAUAACUUCGGGAAACCGAAGCUAAUACCGGAUAGGAUCUUCUCCUUCAUGGGAGAUGAUUGAGAGAUGGUUUCGGCUAUCACUUACAGAUGGGCCCGCGGUGCAUUAGCUAGUUGGUGAGGUAACGGCUCACCAAGGCAACGAUGCAUAGCCGACCUGAGAGGGUGAUCGGCCACACUGGGACUGAGACACGGCCCAGACUCCUACGGGAGGCAGCAGUAGGGAAUCUUCCGCAAUGGACGAAAGUCUGACGGAGCAACGCCGCGUGAGUGAUGAAGGCUUUCGGGUCGUAAAACUCUGUUGUUAGGGAAGAACAAGUACGAGAGUAACUGCUCGUACCUUGACGGUACCUAACCAGAAAGCCACGGCUAACUACGUGCCAGCAGCCGCGGUAAUACGUAGGUGGCAAGCGUUAUCCGGAAUUAUUGGGCGUAAAGCGCGCGCAGGCGGUUUCUUAAGUCUGAUGUGAAAGCCCACGGCUCAACCGUGGAGGGUCAUUGGAAACUGGGGAACUUGAGUGCAGAAGAGAAAAGCGGAAUUCCACGUGUAGCGGUGAAAUGCGUAGAGAUGUGGAGGAACACCAGUGGCGAAGGCGGCUUUUUGGUCUGUACCUGACGCUGAAGCGCGAAAGCGUGGGGGAGCAAACAGGAUUAGAUACCCUGGUAGUCCACGCCCGUAAACGAUGAGUGCUAAGUGUUAGAAGGGUUUCCGCCCUUUUAGUGCUGCAGCUAACGCAUUUAAGCACUUCCGCCUGGG
This 851-nucleotide ribosomal RNA is filed under the name uncultured bacterium. RNAcentral's name for it is "bacterial SSU rRNA". It matches the Rfam family "Bacterial small subunit ribosomal RNA", at positions 50 to 877 of the family's 1533-position model. The record is from RNAcentral.